GAUGAACGCUGGCGGCGUGCCUAAUACAUGCAAGUCGAGCAAACAGAUAAGGAGCUUGCUCCUUUGACGUUAGCGGCGGACGGGUGAGUAACACGUGGGUAACCUACCUAUAAGACUGGGAUAACUUCGGGAAACCGGAGCUAAUACCGGAUAACAUUUGGAACCGCAUGGUUCUAAAGUGAAAGAUGGUUUUGCUAUCACUUAUAGAUGGACCCGCGCCGUAUUAGCUAGUUGGUAAGGUAACGGCUUACCAAGGCAACGAUACGUAGCCGACCUGAGAGGGUGAUCGGCCACACUGGAACUGAGACACGGUCCAGACUCCUACGGGAGGCAGCAGUAGGGAAUCUUCCGCAAUGGGCGAAAGCCUGACGGAGCAACGCCGCGUGAGUGAUGAAGGGUUUCGGCUCGUAAAACUCUGUUAUUAGGGAAGAACAAAUGUGUAAGUAACUGUGCACGUCUUGACGGUACCUAAUCAGAAAGCCACGGCUAACUACGUG
RNAcentral lists this ribosomal RNA (497 nucleotides) under uncultured bacterium. RNAcentral's name for it is "partial 16S ribosomal RNA". It matches the Rfam family "Bacterial small subunit ribosomal RNA", at positions 28 to 507 of the family's 1533-position model. The record is from RNAcentral.